GUUGAACGCUGGCGGCGUGCCUAAUACAUGCAAGUCGAGCGAUCGCAGGAGUAGCUUUCCUCUCUGAUGUUAGCCGCGGACGGAUGAGUACCACGUGGAUACCCUCCCUAUAGGAAUGGGAUCACUACCGGAACCCGUAGCUCAUACCGGCUAAUAUUUUAAACAGCGUGGCUCAAAACUGAAAGCGGUUCUUGCUGCCGCUUAUAGAUUGAUCCGCGGUGCAUUAGCUAGUUGGUAAGGUAACGGCUUACCAAGGCAACGAUGCGUAGCCGACCUGAGAGGAUGAUCGGCCACACUGGAACUGAGACACGGUCCAGACUCCUACGGGAGGCAGCAGUAGGGAAUCUUCCACAAUGGGCGAAAGCCUGACGGAGCAACGCCGCGUGAGUGAUGAAGGCCUUCGGAUCGUAAAACUCUGUUAUUAGGGAAGAAAAGAUGCGUAAGUAACUGUGCACAACUUGACGGUACCUAAUCAGAAAGCCACGGCUAACUACGUG
This 497-nucleotide ribosomal RNA is filed under the name uncultured bacterium. RNAcentral's name for it is "partial 16S ribosomal RNA". It matches the Rfam family "Bacterial small subunit ribosomal RNA", at positions 28 to 507 of the family's 1533-position model. The record is from RNAcentral.